Molecule: ribosomal RNA, 490 nt
Filed under: Streptomyces sp.
Lineage: Bacteria; Bacillati; Actinomycetota; Actinomycetes; Kitasatosporales; Streptomycetaceae
Description: bacterial SSU rRNA
Rfam family: Bacterial small subunit ribosomal RNA
Source: RNAcentral
UUCGGUGGGGAUUAGUGGCGAACGGGUGAGUAACACGUGGGCAAUCUGCCCUGCACUCUGGGACAAGCCCUGGAAACGGGGUCUAAUACCGGAUACUGACCCGUUUGGGCAUCCGAGCGGUUCGAAAGCUCCGGCGGUGCAGGAUGAGCCCGCGGCCUAUCAGCUUGUUGGUGAGGUAAUGGCUCACCAAGGCGACGACGGGUAGCCGGCCUGAGAGGGCGACCGGCCACACUGGGACUGAGACACGGCCCAGACUCCUACGGGAGGCAGCAGUGGGGAAUAUUGCACAAUGGGCGAAAGCCUGAUGCAGCGACGCCGCGUGAGGGAUGACGGCCUUCGGGUUGUAAACCUCUUUCAGCAGGGAAGAAGCGAAAGUGACGGUACCUGCAGAAGAAGCGCCGGCUAACUACGUGCCAGCAGCCGCGGUAAUACGUAGGGCGCAAGCGUUGUCCGGAAUUAUUGGGCGUAAAGAGCUCGUAGGCGGCUUGUC